UACGUAGGGCGCAAGCGUUGUCCGGAAUUAUUGGGCGUAAAGAGCUCGUAGGUGGCUGGUCGCGUCUGCCGUGAAAGCCCCGCAGCUUAACUGCGGGUCUGCGGUGGAUACGGGCCGGCUAGAGGUAGGUAGGGGCAAGUGGAAUUCCUGGGUGUAGCGGUGGAAAUGCGCAGAUAUCAGGAGGAACACCGGUGGCGAAGGC
This 202-nucleotide ribosomal RNA is filed under the name uncultured bacterium. Its description in RNAcentral is "partial 16S ribosomal RNA". It matches the Rfam family "Bacterial small subunit ribosomal RNA", at positions 524 to 722 of the family's 1533-position model. The record is from RNAcentral.